RNAcentral lists this ribosomal RNA (487 nucleotides) under uncultured bacterium. RNAcentral describes it as "bacterial SSU rRNA". It matches the Rfam family "Bacterial small subunit ribosomal RNA", at positions 8 to 518 of the family's 1533-position model. The record is from RNAcentral.
AGAGUUUGAUUAUGGCUCAGAACGAACGCUGGCGGCAUGGAUUAGGCAUGCAAGUCGAACGAAGUAGCAAUACUUAGUGGCGCAAGGGUGAGGAACGCGUGAGUGACCUACCCGCAAGUUUGGAACAGCUCCUGGAAACGGGAAUUAAUACCGGGAUGUGAUCAACGGGCUGCAUGGUUUGUUGAUUAAAGCAGUAAUGCGCUUGCGGAGUGGGCUCGCGUCCCAUUAGCUAGUUGGUGAGGUAACGGCCCACCAAGGCCAUGAUGGGUAGCUGGUCUGAGAGGACGACCAGCCACACUGGGACUGAGAACUGCCCAGACUCCUACGGGAGGCUGCAGUCGAGAAUUUUGGGCAAUGGACGAAAGUCUGAACCCCAGCAAUGCCGCGUGCGGGAUGAAGGUCUUCGGAUUGUAAACCGCUGUUUGGAGGGACGAAAAUUGACGGUACUUCCAGAGAAAGCCACGGCUAACUACGUGCCAGCCGCUGC